ACGUAGCGCAAUUGCUUGACAUCAAUUUUGUUUGAUUUGGGUAUUGUGGGGGUGCUGGUUGACCAUAGAUGACAUCUAGAAACUUUUAUUAGUAUCUUUAAAAUGAUAGCGGCACAAACCAGCACAAACGCAGCAAAAACAUUUGACACUAGAAAAGGUGGGGGGCUAACUUCACUCAUGUCACCAGAACAACUGCAGGUGCCCGUAAGUUGCAGUGUUUCAGCAUCUAGCUAGCCCUGCUGAAGAGAAGCAAGCAUAAAACUGGUGUCAAGCCAGCCCCAACUUAGUUUUGAGUGUGUAUAUUAAGUUAUAUGGUAAGAGAUGUGGAGACCUGAUUUCAAAAUAAAAGCCAACUUCGUUUGAAUUCAGCUUCAACAUUAACACAUUCAGUCCAUAAUAACAAAUUUUAGGUAGUGUUGUUUCCACAUUUUAAUGUUAGACCCACAGGACACACCCUAGUACUCGAGUAGUACCUUUGCCAAUAUCAAGGCAGUCCUUUUUUGGAUUUCAAAGUAAAAGCCUUCUGAAUUUUCCUUUCUGAGCUACUCUUUCAAGAAUUUCAGAAUGCUGUAAAAAGGAAAAUUCCUGUCUCCAAACUCUAAUUUCACUCUAGAUCAACAAGAUACACUCUCACAGGGGUACACUGAAAAAAUGGAAAUUGGCAGGCUUUUGAAUUUGCACAAAUGAAUUUAGUUAAUGCUACACAAGCCUUUCAUGUUUCUCUUAUUUACAUGAUUGAAUAAAGUACCAUUUACUUGAUUAUAAACAAUACUGAGACUACUCAUUUUUCUUGCAUUGAUUUAAAGUGACUAAAUUAGAAUACUAAAACCAUUGUAAUCAUGUUUGACCACAACCGGAAAUGAUGCAAUAUAUUCAAAGACAACAACUAAAUAUGAUUGGAUAAUAAGACCUAGAGUCUUAUCCAAUAAGACAACAACAUAAUUUAAGGAGAGCGCAAUUGACUGCCAGAUUCUGGAAGACUGUUUAGCUGUAUGCAACCUUUGGCACUGAGUCAGGCAUACUGAGAAGAGUCCUGUGGUCCUAAAGACUGUCUUGGCUGACGGAACCUGUCGAAGGCUCACUCUCUAAUGGAGCGCCUGAAUCAACUGAGGAUCUCAUCGUUGAAGUCAAGAGACAGUGUUGUCUUCAGGGCAGUUUCAGACUUCAGUUUAUGGAUUCCUUGUUUGGGGAUGAGUUUCUUAACCUUACCUCAGUUUCAGAAGUAGCAGACGAAGGGACUCUUGAAGCUAUUGACAUGUCAAAGCCCACCACAUGGACAUAAAAAAGAGUAACAGAGUUGGAGAAACUCAAGAUGGAAAAGACUUUUUCAUACAGAAGACAUGAAGUUGUUCGUGAUGCACCAAUGGUGGAGGCUUUCAUGGCAAAAUGGCCUGCUCUAUUUGAUUUCCAUGAGAUCAACGCUGAGUUUAAGAGAAUUGCCACCAUCCCCCCUCAAACAAAGUUCCUGGCUCAGCUGGAUCUCCACUUGGACAACCUGGUGAAGUUGGUCAACAGAAGAGGACAGCUUGGACUAAUACUGAAAAGAAUUGCGGCACAAAUGGAUAAUUGUGAAGAUGUUGAUGCUGAGUGUGUCAAGGGAGUGUGUAUCUACAUGGGUGAAGACCCUGACAUGCUUAUCAGGGAGUAUGUGGGCAUGGAAGAACGUGCCAUCAGUGAGACUGUUGAAGACAUCACUGUUCGGAUUUAAAGAGCAAGCUUCAGCAGAAGAACAAGAGUUGUCCUUGCAGGCAUCAGGGUGGCGAAGAAUUUGGAUAAUGUAGCAUUUGCUGUGAUAAUGCUAUUUGGACUCAUGUAUGCAUUAAACCUUACCUACCCUGCUGACCUCCGCUACAACUUUAACGUUUUCCAGAAGGUUUUCAUGGAACUGGAUGGAGCUAAACUCUCUAAAGUUCUUGCUUUCAAAAACCAUCAGUUUCACUGAGAAGUCAAAGACUGCACUUCUGCAAUUCUUUGCAGUUUUUCAUUUUGUGUUCAGUAACGUUAUACUGCUUAUCUUUUUAUUGCUUUCCCCUCAUGUGACUGCAAUGCAGGAAGAUUUUUCCUUUUGGUAUCAUGUUGUAAGAAAUUUUUACUGAUGAUUUUUAGCAGUAUGUUCUGAGUCAACCUUAAUGUCCUGCUUACAUGUUUAAAAGGAAGAU
This is a long non-coding RNA of Oreochromis niloticus (Nile tilapia), 2159 nucleotides long. RefSeq lists it as uncharacterized. NCBI's taxonomy places the organism in Eukaryota, Metazoa, Chordata, Actinopteri, Cichliformes, Cichlidae. The transcript has 5 exons. The record is from RefSeq and is a predicted model, not a curated record.